UUACGGUCAUAUGACGUUGAAACAGCGGUUCUCCUUCGAUCACCGAAGUUAAUCAACUUUAAACCUGAUCAGUGCCUAGAUGGGUGACCACCUGAGAAUACCAGUCGCUGUAAG
Acanthosepion pharaonis is the source of this 114-nucleotide non-coding RNA. The record is from the annotation of a GenBank genome assembly. Lineage: Eukaryota; Metazoa; Mollusca; Cephalopoda; Sepiida; Sepiidae.